Molecule: ribosomal RNA, 254 nt
Filed under: uncultured bacterium
Lineage: Bacteria
Description: partial 16S ribosomal RNA
Rfam family: Bacterial small subunit ribosomal RNA
Source: RNAcentral
UACAGAGGGAGCGAGCGUUCUCCGGAAUGAUUGGGCGUAAAGCGUCUGUAGGUGGUUUAGAAAGUCUACUGUCAAAUACCAAGGCUCAACCUUGGGCAGGCAGUAGAGUACUUUUAGACUAGAGUGUGGUAGAGGUAGAGGGAAUCCCUAGCGUAACAGUGAAAUGUGUAGAUUUUAGGGAGAACACCAGCGGCAAAGGCGCUCUACUGGGCCAAGACUGACACUGAGAGACGAAAGCUAGGGGAGCGAAUAGG